RNAcentral lists this ribosomal RNA (490 nucleotides) under uncultured bacterium. Its description in RNAcentral is "partial 16S ribosomal RNA". It matches the Rfam family "Bacterial small subunit ribosomal RNA", at positions 28 to 507 of the family's 1533-position model. The record is from RNAcentral.
GAUGAACGCUAGCGAUAGGCUUAACACAUGCCAGUCGAGGGGCAGCAUGGUCUUAGCUUGCUAAGACUGAUGGCGACCGGCGCACGGGUGCGUAACGCGUAUGCAACUUGCCUCACAGAGGGGGAUAACCCGUCGAAAGACGGACUAAUACCGCGUACACUUGGGAUAGGGCAUCCUGACCCAAGGAAAUGAAAUUCGCUGUGAGAUAGGCAUGCGUCCCAUUAGCUAGUUGGUGAGGUAACGGCUCACCAAGGCGACGAUGGGUAGGGGAACUGAGAGGUUGAACCCCCACACUGGUACUGGGACACGGACCAGACUCCUACGGGAGGCAGCAGUGAGGAAUAUUGGUCAAUGGGCGAGAGCCUGAACCAGCCAAGUCGCGUGAAGGAUGACUGUCUUAUGGAUUGUAAACUUCUUUUAUACGGGAAUAACAAGAGCCACGUGUGGCUCCCUGCAUGUACCGUAUGAAUAAGCAUCGGCUAACUCCGUG